GAUGUAUAUAUAUAGUUGCAAUUUGCACAUGUUAUGAUGGGUUUUCGGGUGCCUUGCUUUUGCUAACUCGACUACCACUUUACUCCCAAAGCAUAAUUAAUUUUAUUUUUUGCAUUUUCAUUUCAUAACUAAGCUUUAUCAACCUACACCUAACCAAUGAUGCUUUUUCUAGUGACUCCGAUUUAGAGUUUGGAAGAUGGGGUGGUUAUUGAGACUGUUUUAAGUCUAGCAGGAUUACAGUCUUGGCAUAGUUUGUCUUAUGGACGUUUCCAGAUGGAGCUCUGCCUUCAACCUGAUCUAAUAAAAAAGUGGAAGAGGUCAUCAAAGAAGUCGGCAGCUGAGGCUAUGUCAAAGGGAGAGCAAUUUGAUCCAUCCUCAUCACCUAAAGCAAAUUUUGUUCGAGGCCUAAUUGAAGAAUUCGUCGAUGUGCUUGAUCAUGGUGUUUUUGCGGAUGGGGUUGAUGCAAGUUAUUUGUAGUAGGUCAAAACCUAAUAAUAUCUCCGUUACUAAUC
Molecule: long non-coding RNA, 512 nt
Organism: Brassica oleracea var. oleracea
Lineage: Eukaryota; Viridiplantae; Streptophyta; Magnoliopsida; Brassicales; Brassicaceae
Exons: 4
Source: RefSeq, a predicted model, not a curated record